Molecule: long non-coding RNA, 154 nt
Organism: Etheostoma spectabile (orangethroat darter)
Lineage: Eukaryota; Metazoa; Chordata; Actinopteri; Perciformes; Percidae
Exons: 3
Source: RefSeq, a predicted model, not a curated record
AAAUUAUCUCAAAUACCCACUUUGUAUAGAAAUGGAGCAAAAAAUGGCUUGGUAUUGUACUUUGACCAAUUAUUAAUAAACAAUUAAUCAAAAUGGCGAUAAUAUAAUGGUUUGAUUCUGCAAACUCUUGAAUUUUAUUUUUCUUCUUCAUCUC